Molecule: long non-coding RNA, 1021 nt
Organism: Cyprinus carpio (common carp)
Lineage: Eukaryota; Metazoa; Chordata; Actinopteri; Cypriniformes; Cyprinidae
Exons: 2
Source: RefSeq, a predicted model, not a curated record
UAUUGCAUUUUAAUACAUUGCAUAAAUAUAUAAAUAUAUUGAUUUCUACAGUAGUGUUCAAUAGAAAAGUUUUCCUGCACUCUUCUCUUAUUUGGAAGAUUAGUAUUUCACUUCAGACAAACAGGAAGUAACAUGUUAAAUGUUAAAUUCCCCAUCAUCCACAGACGAACCUGAAUGACAAGAUAUCUGUAAAAAGCUAAAUGUUUAAAACACGGGUCAUACAAGGAAAUUUUGGUGUGGAGGUGUGGAUUUCACUAAUGCUUUACAUUAAAAACACCCAAACUACAAUGUGCACACUCAGCUGGACUAAGAUGAAGGUCUCAGGUGCUCACGUCUGGCUUCUCUUAUUGUUCCUGUUCCAAAGUGACAGAAACCAGGUUUCAGGCCAGUGUUCAGUACCCACAGCACUCUGCUGUCCUGGAGUGAAUAGCCAAUGCAACCGUGGUGGGUGUUUUUGUGAUGAGUUCUGCGUCACAAGCGGGGACUGCUGUGCUGACUACAAUCAGAUAUGCAUUCAGCGUAAGACUGAACUAACUAAUUAACUAAAUUAAUUAAUAAUAAACAAAUUACAAUCCAGCAUCUGUUUAUUCUUUUGAGACAAACCAAAAUUAAAACAUUCCUGAAUAUAAAUAAAUAUUAUUUCUGUUUUUCAUAUUUAUUUCAUAUUCUUCAUUAACUACCUUAGCACAUUCGCCACCAUCCUUUAUAUCACCUUCAUCAACCACACUAUCAUAUUCACCGUUCUCAUCAACAUCCUUAUCAACCUCAAUAUCACCAACCUCACAACCUUUAUCUUCCUCAACAUCAGCCUCACCACCAUCUUCAUCCUCCCUACCUACAACCAACCAAUCACCAACAUCAUCACCAAUCUCACCACCAACUUCAUCCUCCUCACCUACAACCAACCAAUCACCAACAUCAUCACCAACCUCACAAACAUCUUCAUCAGUCUCACCAACAACCAACCAAUCAUCAUCACCACCACCAACCUCUGCAUCUUCAUCAACAUCCCAGCAGAGAA